GAUGAAGAACGCAGCGAAAUGCGAUAAGUAAUGCGAAUUGCAGAAUUCCAGUGAGUCAUCGAAUCUUUGAACGCACAUUGCGCCUCCUGGCAUUCCGGGAGGCAUGUCUGUUCGAGCGUCAUCAAAAACCAUCGCAAGCGAAUGCACUUAUUUUGCGCGGUAUUGACGAUUGAGCGAUAAGUUUCUUAAAAUCAGAGAGAGAAAAACAGUAUUAUUUGAAAAAACAUCUCGAUUUUAUUCGCACCUCGUCGAAAUGAUUUGCGGGCGGAAUCUGGGAUCGGGCUCCUCGGCGUAGUGUACCAAUGCAUAUUUAUGUAACUUGUCGCGGAGUCGAGCCUGACCCACGCGUUCUUGCCGUGAAGAAACCCAUCAAUUUCACAAGUUUUUGACCUCGGAUCAGGUAGGGAUACCCGCUGAACUUAAGCAUAUCAAUAAGCGGAGGA
This 443-nucleotide unclassified non-coding RNA is filed under the name soil metagenome. RNAcentral's name for it is "partial contains 5.8S ribosomal RNA, internal transcribed spacer 2, and large subunit ribosomal RNA". The stretch from base 1 to 121 matches the Rfam family "5.8S ribosomal RNA", at positions 35 to 154 of the family's 154-position model. The record is from RNAcentral.